UGACCGCUGGCGGCAUGCCUUACACAUGCAAGUCGAACGGUAACAGGUUAAGCUGACGCGUGGCGAACGGGUGAGUAAUACAUCGGAACGUGCCCAGUAGUGGGGGAUAGCCCGGCGAAAGCCGGAUUAAUACCGCAUACGACCUAAGGGUGAAAGGGGGGGAUCGCAAGACCUCUCGCUAUUGGAGCGGCCGAUGUCAGAUUAGCUAGUUGGUGGGGUAAAAGCUCACCAAGGCGACGAUCUGUAGCUGGUCUGAGAGGACGACCAGCCACACUGGGACUGAGACACGGCCCAGACUCCUACGGGAGGCAGCAGUGGGGAAUUUUGGACAAUGGGCGCAAGCCUGAUCCAGCCAUGCCGCGUGCGGGAAGAAGGCCUUCGGGUUGUAAACCGCUUUUGUCAGGGAAGAAAUCCUUUGGGUUAAUACCUCGGGGGGAUGACGGUACCUGAAGAAUAAGCACCGGCUAACUACGUG
RNAcentral lists this ribosomal RNA (475 nucleotides) under uncultured bacterium. RNAcentral's name for it is "partial 16S ribosomal RNA". It matches the Rfam family "Bacterial small subunit ribosomal RNA", at positions 30 to 507 of the family's 1533-position model. The record is from RNAcentral.